Molecule: ribosomal RNA, 440 nt
Filed under: uncultured bacterium
Lineage: Bacteria
Description: partial 16S ribosomal RNA
Rfam family: Bacterial small subunit ribosomal RNA
Source: RNAcentral
CCUACGGGUGGCAGCAGUGGGGACUAUUGCACAAUGGGGGAAACCCUGAUGCAGCGACGCCGCGGGAGUGAAGAAGUAUUUCGGUAUGUAAAGCUCUAUCAGCAGGGAAGAUAAUGACGGUACCUGAGUAAGAAGCCCCAGCUAACUACGUGCCAGCAUCCGCGGUAAUACGUAUGGGGCAAGCUUUAUCCGGCUUUACUGGGUGUAAAGGGAGCGUAGACGGCAUGGCAAGUCUGAAGUGAAAGCCCGGGGCUCAACCGCGGGUCUGCUUUUGAAACUGUGAAGCUGGAGUGCAGGAGAGGUAAGUGGAAUUCCGAGUGUAGAGGUGAAAUGCGUAGAUAUUAGGAGGAACACCAGUGGCGAAGGCGGCUUACUGGACUGUAACUGACGUUGAGGCUCGAAAGCGUGGGGAGCAAACAGGAUUAGAUACCCUGGUAGUC